GCGUCUGUAGCUCAGCUGGAUAGAGUACCUGGCUACGAACCAGGCGGUCAGAGGUUCGAAUCCUCUCAGGCGCACCA
RNAcentral lists this transfer RNA (77 nucleotides) under Vibrio nitrifigilis. RNAcentral describes it as "Vibrio sp. NFV-1 tRNA-Arg". It matches the Rfam family "tRNA". Rfam says of the family: Transfer RNA (tRNA) molecules are approximately 80 nucleotides in length. Their secondary structure includes four short double-helical elements and three loops (D, anti-codon, and T loops). Lineage: Bacteria; Pseudomonadati; Pseudomonadota; Gammaproteobacteria; Vibrionales; Vibrionaceae. The record is from RNAcentral.